This is a long non-coding RNA of Danio aesculapii, 5338 nucleotides long. RefSeq lists it as uncharacterized. The record is from RefSeq and is a predicted model, not a curated record. The transcript has 6 exons. NCBI's taxonomy places the organism in Eukaryota, Metazoa, Chordata, Actinopteri, Cypriniformes, Danionidae.
UUACAUUGGAGAAAGAAGUGUUGGUGUGUGUGUGCUGAUGGUGUAGUGGUCAGAGCACACAGCAUGAGAUGUGAAGUUCUCGCAGCAUACCUGGGUUCAAAUCCAAGCCCUGUUACUGCUCUUUACUGCUGAUGCAAUUACAAAAUACAAAAGUGUUUUUCCUCAUUUGUGCUCCCGCACUGAUUACUUUCCUUUCAGUAGUUCCUUUGGUGUGAUCCAUACUGCGAAGUGGGUUUCAGAGCCAAACCUCUACCUUGUCCUCAUUGAAUGUGUGUUCAGCCACAGUGUGGGAUUCAAACCUCCACUCAUCUGUAUGGCAGUCAAACACUCAUACACUGAACCACAGGGCUUGACUUCUGGCAGUAGUUGUUUGUGAGCCAAAUUACAAAGAAACUAAUCUCAAAUCACGGUUACAGUUAAGAAAUAGAUAAAGCCCCAUUCAAACAUCUGCUUCACAAUCCAGAUACAGUGGCUCAGGUCAUAAAGUGUUGAGCUUUAAUCAAGGAGACCCGGGUUCGAACCUUGCUAUGGCUAAUGUCCAGCUUGAGUUCAUUAUAUUCACCAUCAGUGUCCUGCCCUGAUGAUGGAAGCUGAUGGUGAAUAUAAUGAGCUCAAGUUGGAUGAUGGACGCUGAUGUGAAACUCAUGAUGAAUCAGUUAAUAAACACAAGUUCUCUGAGGAGAGACUCAUAAAGUCAAAGGUUCAAAUCUGACUUGUAUCUUGUUCUAGCAGGAUUCGAUCCUUCACGCUUCUGUACGAAAGUUGGAAGCUCAUCCUCUGAACCACAGAGCUUGACAUUUGGCAUCAGUUGUUUUGUGAGCCAAAUUACGAAGAAACAAAUGUCAAACCUUGGUCAUAACGACAUUAGUGAUAAAACCCCAUUCAGAUAUCUCCUCUAACAUCUAGACUCGGUGGCUCAGGUCAUAAAGUGUUGAGCUUUAAUCAAGGAGACCCGGGUUCAAACCUCCCCAUGGCUAAUGUCCAUCUUGAGCUCAUUAUGUUCACCAAGAGCUCCUGAUGAUGGACGCUGAUGUGAAACUCAUGAUGGGUGAGUCAAUAAACACAAGUUCUCUGAGGAAGAGACUCCUAAAGACAAGGGUUCAGAUCUGACUUGUAUCUUGUUUUAUUGAAACAGCUCACACACAGGUCUGCAGUCAAACACCAGUACCAGCAGGUGUUCAGUCAGGAGAUCUGUGGCUCUGUGGUAAGAGCGCUGCCCCACGGCUUCAGGGGUUGCUGGUUCAAUGCCAGCCAGAACUCUGCGAUAUGAGUGAAUGGAUCUACCAAGCCAGGUCAGAGGUCAUGGAGAGCUCUUGAGUGGAACUGGAUUCCUGCUGGAUUGGAAACAACUGUUUCCUGAGUUAUUUGUCAUUUUAUGUGUUGAUUCUGUUUAAAGUCAUUUCCUUUGUGUGCAGGACAGACUUUCUGUGUAGCAGCAGCUGCCAGUCUGGAUGUAGACUACACCAGUAUUAACCAGUUUCAGAUAAGACGGCUGAGAGUACGAGAAACAGCCUUGAGGAUGAAACAGGUCGUUCUCUGUAGAGCUGCUCGAUAUUGGAAAUAUGUCACAUUGUGAUAUUUAGAUUUCUGUGAUUUAUAUUGUGAUAUGAGAACAAUUUCACCAGAUGACUUGAACGGCUCUAUGUGUACAGAAUUGAUCAUUUUAGAUUGAUUAGGAUGAUUCUGUAGAAGAGAGCAUCUGAAUAAAUAUAAUAAACAAUCUACAAGCUUAGAUAAAUGCAGUGAAGAGGAAGAUAGAGAUGAAAUAAACAAUGUUUUACUGUUUCCUGAAGAGUCUAACAGUACUCAGGUACAGCAACUGAAUAAUCAAAUGUAAAAUAACACUGCAUAGUCAAGAGCAGUGUUUCCCAACCCUGUUCCUGGAGGCACACCAACAGUACAUAUUUUGGAUGUCUCCCUUUUCUGACCCAUUAACUUCAGGUGUUGGAGUCUCUUCUGAUGUUCUGAUAAGUUGAUUCAGGUCUGUUUGAUUAGGGAGAGGUUGAAAAUGUGUACUGUUGGUGUGCCUUCAGGAACAGGGUUGGGAAACACUGGUCUAGAUAACUGUUAAAUGAACCGUUAUUAAAGUUACGAAUGGAAGAAUUUCUUAGGCCUGAACUGAAAAUCUUCACACAGCCACAGGCCUCAAAAACACAUGCAACUGCUGAACUAUAAUCCAGACUCCACACUGCAGAUGCUGCGAUGUGACUAUAGCAAAUGAUCACAUUGAGAUAUCCAUGCUAAAACGAUAUAUUGUGCUGCCCUCGUUCUUUGUGUGUGCGUUAUAUGAUCACUUUUACAGGUCUGAGGUCAGCUCUGUCUGACUGUCUGACCUGCGGCUCCUGUCUCAGAUGCAGAUACAAACCCACAUCUGCAGACCUGUUUGGAAACUGUCUGUCUUUGCUUUAACUAAUCAGGAUCUUUAUACCUUUGUUGACGCCAUUUGUGGCCCUCUGUCAGAGUAUAAUUGCUGUGUGUUUGUUAUUGUAAGGCAGCGAGAUCGGCCAGCCAACUCUAUGUGAGUGUCACAGAACGGCAAACUGUCUUCAGUAAACUCUCUUAAUCUUAUUGAAUCUCCGGCAAACAAACAAAUAGACUAUGAAUGUAACAUAAAAGAAUUCCCAAAAGCUGAUGAUUACAGACUUGACAUCAAAUAUUGAUAAAUGAAGUGUAAAACAUGAAUAUUGUACUGUAAAGCGUGUGACUUUCUCACCAUGAUGUUCUUCACUCCAGAUUGUCAAUUAGCCUGUGUGUAAUUAAUGCGCCUCUCAUCAAUAAACAUACAUUUAAUUUAUUAGACGAGCUUUUAUAUUGGGGAUGCAGAAUAUAUUCAUUGCUCACAGAUUUAAUUGACGCAGACACAAAUAAUAAUUUUACCAACAGAAAUAUGAACUCGUUUCCUUUCAUAAAUGUUUUAUUAAGAUUACUGGCUGCUUUUUUAAAUCUUGUGAACUCUGCAAGAGGCAGAUUGGAUCAGUCUUUUUCCAAUAGUAUCUGGAUGCAGACCUAGAUUUUUAAGCUGAAACUGCAUAUAUCAGACACAAUGCAUCCAGUUGAGCUAGUGACGUUACUGUGAUGGGUGGGGUUAGGUGUGCUCAUUAAAGCGCAGUUUCGAUCCGCUCCACUAGGCGGCAUCAGCGAGCUGCUCUUUUAGCCUGAACACCUUUGACAACAGCGACACAAAUCAACACAGGUACACCGUUUUACUGGCGUCAAGUUGAGCUCCAGCAGAUGACAGCUCAGUGCCAGACUCAUAAUGUCAGUCAACAGCACAUAUUACAGCCCGACAGUGAAGAAAAGCUACACAAAGUGCAGAAAUGGAGAGUAACGCGACUCACCUGUAAGUGACUUUGUUUUGUUGGUUUAGUUUGUAGAGAUGUUGUUGUAGUGUUUGUGUUCAGUCAUUGCUCUCUCUCUCUCUCCUCUGCAGCAGUGAAGAUACACACGUGUGUCUGUUGUGUUUCUGCUGCAGAUCUUUGACCAGCGCUCAACAGCUGAUGCUCCUCCACACACUCCUCCACAUCCAGGCGGAUUCACAGCUCCAGUAAAGAAAUCCCACAACAGCUCGACAGUGAAGAAAAGCUACACCAAAUGCAGAAAUGGAGAGUAACGCGACUCACCUCAGUGAAGAUACACUCUUUUAGCCUGAACACCUUUGACAACAGUGACACCAGAUCAACACAGGUACACAGUGUUACUGACGUCAAGUUGAGCUCCAGCAGAUGACAGCUCAGUGAUAGACUCAUAAUGUCAGUCAACAGCAGAUAUUACAGCCCGACAGUGAAGAAAAGCCACACCAAGUGCAGAAAUGGAGAGUAACGCGACUCACCUCAGUGAAGAUACACACGUUUGUCUGUUGUGUUUCUGCUGCAGAUAUUUGACCAGCGCUCAACAGCUGAUGCUCCUCCACACACUCCUCCACAUCCAGGCAGAUUCACAGCUCCAGUAAAGGAUUUACCAAGCCAGGUCAGAGGUGUGUAGCAGCAGCUGCCAGUCUGGAUGUAGACUACACCAGUCUUAACCAGUUUCAGAUAAGACGGCUGAGAGUACGAGAAACAGCCUUGAGGAUGAAACAGGUCGUUCUCUGUAGAGCUGCUCGAUAUUGGAAAUAUGUCACAUUGUGAUAUUUAGAUUUCUGUGAUUUAUAUUGUGAUAUGAGAACAAUUUCACCAGAUGACUUGAACGGCUCUAUGUGUACAGAAUUGAUCAUUUUAGAUUGAUUAGGAUGAUUCUGUAAAGGAGAGCAUCUGAAUAAAUAUAAUAAACAAUCUACAAGUUUAGAUAAAUGCAGUGAAGAGGAAGAUAGAGAUGAAAUAAACAAUGUUUUACUGUUUCCUGAAGAGUCUAACAGUACUCAGGUACAGCAACUGAAUAAUCAAAUGUAAAAUAACACUGCAUAGUCUAGAUCAGUGUUUCCCAACCCUGUUCCUGGAGGCACACCAACAGUACAUAUUUUGGAUGUCUCGCUUUUCUGACCCAUUAACUUCAGGUGUUGGAGUCUCUUCUGAUGUUAUGAUCAGUUGAUUCAGGUCUGUUUGAUUAGGGAGAGGUUGAAAAUGUGUACUGUUGGUGUGCCUUCAGGAACAGGGUUGGGAAACACUGGUCUAGAUAACUGUUAAAUGAACCGUUAUUAAAGUUACGAAUGGAAGAAUUUCUUAGGCCUGAACUGAAAAUCUUCACACAGCCACAGGCCUCAAAAACACAUGCAACUGCUGAACUAUAAUCCAGACUCCACACUGCAGAUGCUGCGAUGUGACUAUAGCAAAUGAUCACAUUGAGAUAUCCAUGCUAAAACGACAUAUUGUGCAGCCCUCGUUCUUUGUGUGUGCGUUAUAUAGAUCGCUUUUACAGGUCUGAGGUCAGCGGGCUGUCUGACCUGCGGCUCCUGUCUCAGAUGCAGAUACAAACCCACUUCUGAAGACCUGUUUGGAAACUGUCUGUCUUUGCUUUAACCGAUCAGGAUCUUUAUACCUUUGUUGAUGCCAUUUGUGGCCCUCUGUCAGAGUAUAAUUGCUGUGUGUUUGGUUAUUGUAAGGCAGCGAGAUCGGCCAGCCAACUCUAUGUGAGUGUCACAGAACGGCAAACUGUCUUCAGUAAACUCUCUUAAUCUUAAUAAAUCUCCGGCAAACAAACAAAUAGACUAUGAAUGUAACAUAAAAGAAUUCCCAAAAGCUGAUGAUUACAGACUUGACAUCAAAUAUUGAUAAAUGAAGUGUAAAACAUGAAUAUUGUACUGUAAAGCGUGUGACUUUCUCACCAUGAUGUUCUUCACUCCAGAUUGUCAUUUAGCCUGUGUGUAAUUAAUGCGCCUCCCAGCAAUAAACAUACAUUUAAUUUA